GCUGGGAUACCUGGAAAAGCUGGACCAAAGGGAGACAAAGGAGACAAAGGAGACAAUGGGGAACCCUGCCGCUCAGAAGGCUGUCAGCGGGAAGAGGGAAGAGCCAGAAACUGCAAGGAGCUCCAUGAACAAGGAGAGACUCUCACUGGCUGGUACAACAUCUAUCCAAGCACAGGGAAAGUGAUGGUGGUUUUCUGUGACAUGGAAAUAGAUGGAGGAGGCUG
This is a non-coding RNA of Pseudonaja textilis, 224 nucleotides long. The record is from RefSeq and is a predicted model, not a curated record. Lineage: Eukaryota; Metazoa; Chordata; Lepidosauria; Squamata; Elapidae.